UACGUAGGGUGCAAGCGUUAAUCGGAAUUACUGGGCGUAAAGCGUGCGCAGGCGGUUUUGUAAGCCAGAUGUGAAAGCCCCGGGCUCAACCUGGGAACUGCGUUUGAAACUACAAAGCUAGAGUGUGGCAGAGGUGGGUGGAAUUCCGCGUGUAGCGGUGAAAUGCGUAGAGAUGGGGAGGAACACCGGUGGCGAAGGCAGCCCCCUGGGAUAACACUGACGCUCAUGCACGAAAGCGUGGGGAGCAAACAGG
Molecule: ribosomal RNA, 253 nt
Filed under: uncultured bacterium
Lineage: Bacteria
Description: partial 16S ribosomal RNA
Rfam family: Bacterial small subunit ribosomal RNA
Source: RNAcentral